RNAcentral lists this ribosomal RNA (253 nucleotides) under uncultured bacterium. Its description in RNAcentral is "partial 16S ribosomal RNA". It matches the Rfam family "Bacterial small subunit ribosomal RNA", at positions 524 to 776 of the family's 1533-position model. The record is from RNAcentral.
UACGGGGGGAGCAAGCGUUGUUCGGAUUCACUGGGCGUAAAGGGUGCGUAGGCGGUCGGGUAAGUCUGACGUGAAAUCUUCAAGCUCAACUUGGAAACUGCGUCGGAUACUAUUCGGCUAGAGGAAUGGAGGGGAGACUGGAAUACUUGGUGUAGCAGUGAAAUGCGUAGAUAUCAAGUGGAACACCAGUGGCGAAGGCGAGUCUCUGGACAUUUCCUGACGCUGAGGCACGAAAGCCAGGGGAGCAAACGGG